Molecule: ribosomal RNA, 406 nt
Filed under: uncultured bacterium
Lineage: Bacteria
Description: bacterial SSU rRNA
Rfam family: Bacterial small subunit ribosomal RNA
Source: RNAcentral
AAUCAACGCUGGCGGCGUGCCUCAGACAUGCAAGUCGAACGCGAAAGUCCCCUUCGGGGGACAAGUAGAGUGGCGCACGGGUGAGUAACACGUAGGUAAUCUACCUUCGGAUGGGGAAUAACAAUCGGAAACGGUUGCUAAUACCGCAUAAUGCAGCGGCACCUAAUGGUGACAGUUGUUAAAAGCGGGGGAUCGAAAGACCUCGCGUCUGAAGAGGAGCCUGCGGCGGAUUAGCAGUUGGUAAGGUAAUGGCUUACCAAGGCGACGAUCCGUAACCGGCCUGAGAGGGGCGGUCGGUCACACUGACACUGACAUACGGGUCAGACUCCUACGGGAGCAGCAGUCGGGAAUUUGGGCAAUGGGCGAAAGCCUGACCCAGCAACGCCGCGUGAAGGAUAGAAAUCCC